This 909-nucleotide long non-coding RNA is filed under the name Physcomitrium patens. Its description in RNAcentral is "long non-coding RNA (PPAT_LNC004028)". Lineage: Eukaryota; Viridiplantae; Streptophyta; Bryopsida; Funariales; Funariaceae. The record is from RNAcentral.
AGGAAGAAUAGAAAUUACAAUAAAAAAAUCCUAAUUCUAAUAGAAUAUUAAAAAUGCUCUAAUUUGACCAUAAUAAUGUUAAGCAAGCUUAAUCAAAUUCAAAAAAAUCUCAAAGAAAUUUCAAACAAACAAUAAGAAUUCUUAAAGAAAUAUUAGAAAGAACACAAAUAUCACUCAAAUACAUCUCAAUUCAAUCAUAAUUUAAUUCUAGUUAAAAUCCUAUUGAACUUCAUUCAAACUUUAGGCCAAAACUAAUUGAAUCUUAAAUCCUAAUAAAAUCUUAAACUCUAAAUCAAACCCUAAACAAAUCUUAAAUCAAAUCUCAACUAAAUCCUAAAUCAAAUCCUAACCAAACCCUAAACCAACCCUAAAUCCUAAAUCAAAUCCUAACAAAACCCUAAACUAAUUCUAAAUCCUAAAUUAAAUCCUAAUCCAAAUCCUAAAAUCUAAAUAAAAUCCUAACCAAAUCUUAAAUCCUAAAUCAAAUCCUAACCAAAUCCUAAACCAAAUCCUAAUCUAAACCCUAAAUCCUAAAUAAAAUCUUAACCAAAUCCUAAAUCCUAAAUCAAAUCCUAAUCAAAUCCUAAGCCAAAUCCUAAUCCAAAUCCUAAACCCUAAAUCAAAUCCUAAUCAAAUCCUAAAUCUUAAAUAAAAUCCUAAUAAAAUCUUAAAUAAAAUCCUAACCAAAUCUGAAACCAAAUCCUAAUCCAAAACCUAAAUCCUAAAUCAAAUCCUAACCAAAUCUUAAAUCCUAAAUCAAACCCUAAUCCAAAUCCUAAACUCCAAACCAAACCCUAACCAAAUCCUAAUAAUUCCGAUAACAGAUUUAAACCUCAAUAACUAAUAAAUAAACCAUUGAUCUUAAUUCAAAUUUUGCAUAAUUCUAAAAAAAUAAGUUAAAAACAAGCA